RNAcentral lists this long non-coding RNA (311 nucleotides) under Phoenix dactylifera (date palm). Its description in RNAcentral is "long non-coding RNA (PDAC_LNC009090)". The record is from RNAcentral. Lineage: Eukaryota; Viridiplantae; Streptophyta; Magnoliopsida; Arecales; Arecaceae.
CCUCCUGCACUCAGGCGGCAUCGUCGGGUAUCUCGACCGAUCGGUGCAGUAGUUGUAGAUGGUGUACUUCUGGCGCACCCAACUCAGUCUCCGGUAUUGGUAGCCAUCAAGAUCCUGGAACUCCUUCUGGUCCCACCACCGCCUCCCCUGGGUGGCGCAGAACUUGGCCUCAGCCGAUGCCUCGCAGCCAUCGAUGUGGAAGCCCCGGUAGGCAGCCACAAAUGGAGCCUUAGACCAGUCAGUCUUCUCGAGCCCGCCCCUUGUAGCCCAGUCAUCAGCAUUCCACAGGCUGGAGUAUAUCUUCAUCGGCU